UUAUUCGAUGCAAGCGAAGAACCUUACCAGGGCUUGACAUGUCGGUGGUACCCUGGCCGAAAGGCUGGGGGACCCUUCGGGGAGCCGUCACAGAUGCUGCAUGGCUGUCGUCAGCUCGUGCCGUGAGGUGUUGGGUUAAGUCCCGCAACGAGCGCAACCCUCGUCGCUAGUUACACUCUCUAGCGAGACUGCCUCGUAAUUCGAGGAGGAAGGUGGGGAUGACGUCAAGUCAUCAUGGCUCUUACGCCCUGGGCGACACACACGCUACAAUGG
Molecule: ribosomal RNA, 273 nt
Filed under: uncultured bacterium
Lineage: Bacteria
Description: partial 16S ribosomal RNA
Rfam family: Bacterial small subunit ribosomal RNA
Source: RNAcentral